This 1305-nucleotide long non-coding RNA is filed under the name Astyanax mexicanus (Mexican tetra). RNAcentral describes it as "lncRNA (ENSAMXG00005011577.1)". Lineage: Eukaryota; Metazoa; Chordata; Actinopteri; Characiformes; Acestrorhamphidae. The record is from RNAcentral.
GAAAUAAAAUAAAACAUUUAUGUAGGGAAAACUAUGUAGGUAUUGUGCUAAAAAAUAUAUAUAUGUCUCUAUUGGAUAUCGUCUGCCUGUCUGUCUGAUUCCUCUGCACAACUAUUGGACGACAUUCUCUCCAAGGUUUCUUUAAACCUCCUCUCCAUAUUUUGCAGGCGUACUGGGCAUAUAUUGUAGAAACUUCCUCGAAAUGGCACAAGCUGCUUAUCUAUGGUGACACAGUCACUAGGGAUGAAACCUCUUCUGCAGUUGUCCAAGAAACAGUCCUCAUUCCAGGCACUGACUCCGGUGGAAGUUGUUUGGUGUUAAUAUGGCAUCCAUCCUGAUCUUCGUCCUUUUGGUCUUCUUCCCAGGUACAUCUUCUGGGGGCAUCACUGGAGAUUUAUAGAUAGGGUGGGAGUAAAAAAAAGGUAACACUUUACAAUAAGGGUACAUCAAUAACAAUACCUAUAACAGAAUCAUUUAAAUUAUUAAUAAUUGAGUACAACUAUAAGUACAACUAUAAGGAGUAAUUGCACUAAUUGUCCACACAGCCUUACAGAUUGUAGUCUUGUAUCUGUUUCUCUGCAUACUUUAAAUCCUCCUUAUAUCCUCCUUACACCCUGUUCUUCAAUGCUCAGGACCCCACAGGAGUGACCACCACACAGCAGCUUUUAUUAUUUGGGUGGUCGGUCCUUAUUCUCAGCACUGUUCGUACGUAAAAGUAGAUCAGAUACAGCAGUGCUGCUGGAGUUUUUAAACACCCCAGUUUCCACUCACUGUCCACUCUUUUACACACUCCAUAGCAUGCACAGAGAAAGCCUUUUCUGAGUUAUAAUCAUAAGUGUAAACGGGUGGAGUUUACCAAGCACUACUGGGAUUUUAACUGGGACCGUGUGCUUUAGUGACAUAAGACCAAGAUUUUGGCAACAAACACUGUAGGUGGGUCUGGAGUAACACUAAGGAUGAGUAUGCAGAAAAACACCUCAUGCUCACUGUUAUGUAUGGGGGAGGAUCAGUGAUGCUGUGAACCUGGGAACCUUGUAAGGAUACAUGGGAUCAUAAACUCUUUGAAAUAUCUAGACAUUUUGAAUCAGAAUCUGGUGGUCUCUGCACGAAAGCUGAAGAUGGGUCGUCACUGAGAUUUUGUAUCAAGAUAAUGACCCCAAACAUGUGACUAAAUCUAUUCAAAAAUGGUUCCCAAGGCACAAAAUCAAGCUCCUCUCAUGGCCAUCUCAGUUCCCAGACCUCGACCCAAUAGAAAACCUAUUGGGUGAGCUGAAGACGAGAGCGCAUAGGAGAAGACCCAGGACU